This is a long non-coding RNA of Aegilops tauschii subsp. strangulata, 992 nucleotides long. RefSeq lists it as uncharacterized. The record is from RefSeq and is a predicted model, not a curated record. NCBI's taxonomy places the organism in Eukaryota, Viridiplantae, Streptophyta, Magnoliopsida, Poales, Poaceae.
AAUCGAAAAACUCCACAACCCUAACCCAUGCCCUAUCGCCGCCCACCUCGCGCUCGAUCCACGGUCCGGGCGCCAUCGCCGCCGGCCUCGCCCUCGAUCCAAAGUCCUACCGCCAUCGCCGCCGGCCUCGCGCUCGACCCCGUCGUCAAGUCGUCGUCCCGGAGGUCGCACCCCCCUCCCGCAAGCUCCACCCCACAUCCACCCAUCCUCGCACUCUGCCCCCUCUCCCCGAGAUCGAGCCGCGGUCCUCGCACUCCACAAUCCGACGGCCUUCCUCGUGUCCUCCUGACAUCCAGCCGUUGUCCUCGCGAAUCUCCAUCCCUGCUACCUCCGGGGCUCCAUCGUCGUGCUCCCGCUGCUGACGGAUCUGCUGCUAUCGGGGCUCCAUUGCCGGCCUCCCGCUGCUGCCGGACAUGCUGAUGCCAGGGAUCCAUCUCCAGGCUCAUUACGCUGCUACCGGACCUGCUGCCAGGGCUCCAUCUCCUUCGAGCUAUGCCCCUCCCGAAUCCAGUCGUCCCCGUGCCUUGAGCCAACUUUAGAUACUUGGCAAAUUUGAUAUUAAUGGUGCAUCGUGGAAAAAACGUGGUUGUCUAAGCCUAGAUGAGUCGACAACGAAGCUCGGGGACGUGAUAUGGCGCUCGGUGUAGGUGGCCAUGGUGGACCCGAAGCUGGCUGAGAUAAGCGAUGGGAUCAAAGAUGCCAAGAAGACAACUAAUGUGUCAGGAGGUGCAGCUACUUAUCCACACCUAGCAUUGGAUGUGAGGAGGACUUGGAGUGUCAUGGAACACAUAUGGCUGUUUGUAGUAUUUUGGACCAACCAACUUCAAUCAUUUCUUGAAUCUUAUGUGUGUUGUGGACCAUUUGGUGCUUCAAGUGUUUUGGAGUAGAAACUUUGUGCUCAUGUAUGUGAUUUAUGUGUUCUGGACCAUUGUUUGAAUUAGUUCAGACUAGCAAAUAGUGGCCCUUUGACUUGUGUGUUCUGGAUGGUCAAA